ACCCUGCUGAAACUACACUAAUCGCAGCAUGCAGUAUGUAUACUUGCAAGCACAGUAUGCAAAGUCUGACCCUGCCAGGCACCACCUCAGGAUGAGAUGAAGGCACAAGGGGAGCCUGCUCUUCCCCAGCUGUUGUGAAAGCUGCAGGAUGAAUUCAGCCCUUGUGUGCGGACAGCAACACACUCAGCCAAGCCUGUUAUGGGAAGAGGAGUGACUCUCGGAGCCAUGCCAGACCUGACCAUGCCUUGCUAUGGGACAAAAUCACUGGAGAGACGAUCAGCUUGGGGCCCUAGCGUGGCCAGAAGAGGAGUCUGGACCAUUGCCAGCAGCAAAACCAAGAGC
Gymnogyps californianus (California condor) is the source of this 342-nucleotide long non-coding RNA. RefSeq lists it as uncharacterized. Lineage: Eukaryota; Metazoa; Chordata; Aves; Accipitriformes; Cathartidae. The record is from RefSeq and is a predicted model, not a curated record. The transcript is spliced from 3 exons.